UAACACGUAGGGUGCGAGCGUUGUCCGGAAUUAUUGGGCGUAAAGAGCUCGUAGGCGGUCCGUCACGUCGGAUGUGAAAUUCCAGGGCUCAACCCUGGACCUGCAUUCGAUACGGGCGGACUAGAGUUCGGUAGGGGAGACUGGAAUUCCUGGUGUAGCGGUGAAAUGCGCAGAUAUCAGGAGGAACACCGGUGGCGAAGGCGGGUCUCUGGGCCGAUACUGACGCUGAGGAGCGAAAGCGUGGGGAGCGAACAGGAUUAGAUACCCUGGUAGUCCACGCCGUAAACGUUGGGCGCUAGGUGUGGGGGACCUUCCACGUCCUCUGUGCCGCAGCUAACGCAUUAAGCGCCCCGCCUGGGGAGUACGGCCGCAAGGCUA
RNAcentral lists this ribosomal RNA (378 nucleotides) under uncultured bacterium. RNAcentral's name for it is "bacterial SSU rRNA". It matches the Rfam family "Bacterial small subunit ribosomal RNA", at positions 521 to 896 of the family's 1533-position model. The record is from RNAcentral.